This 253-nucleotide ribosomal RNA is filed under the name uncultured bacterium. RNAcentral's name for it is "partial 16S ribosomal RNA". It matches the Rfam family "Bacterial small subunit ribosomal RNA", at positions 524 to 776 of the family's 1533-position model. The record is from RNAcentral.
UACAGAGGGUGCGAGCGUUGUCCGGAAUCACUGGGCGUAAAGCGCACGUAGGCGGCUUGGCAAGUCGGAUGUGAAAUCCCUCGGCUCAACCAAGGAAGUGCAUCCGAAACUGCUGAGCUUGAGUACUUAAGAGGAUCGCGGAAUUCCCGGUGUAGAGGUGAAAUUCGUAGAUAUCGGGAGGAACACCAGUGGCGAAGGCGGCGAUCUGGGAAGAUACUGACGCUGAGGUGCGAAAGCGUGGGGAGCAAACAGG